AUGGCCUCCCCGCAAUCCUCCUACGGCUCAUCCGAGGAAGACGCCUCCUCCGAUGGUUCUGACCACCAAGUUGUGGAGAAGCAGCCUCUAAGAGAAGAAUCGGAGGAGGAGACUGGGGGCAAUGAAGAAUCGGAGGAGGAGGAGGAGGAGGAGGAGGGGGCGGGGGACAAUGUGGUGCCGGACGAUAAUAACAUCCACCAGUCGCCACUGCAAGGCGACACGGUCCCAGAUUCCGAGUCGCCGCCCAGGUCCCAACCCAAGAGGAAGGCCGUGGAUGCAGAACCUGUCGAGCCCAAGAGGAUGAGGUCGGCCGAGGCGCCGCAGCCUAGGAUGCAACCUGAGGCCACUGAAGUUGCUCUGAUUCAACCUGAGAUCGCUGAACAUGCUCUGACUAAGAGCGAUGCGGAGAAGCUAUUCCAAGUUAAGAUCGAUUUUUAUUGGCACCUUGGGCAAGAGGUGUUGGCCCUAGAGGAGAAACAUCCUGGGUUGUUCAAGUCUCCGUUCCUGAAGCUUCCUGACGAGAAGGCCAGGAUACUCAAUGCCAAACUUCAGAAGCAACACAUUGCAAAAUUAAAGGCUUUGUUACGGCUGGCUGAUAUCAGAAAGGAGGUGACGAACUCCCUCAUCAAUUGUCUCGACUGA
Molecule: ribosomal RNA, 642 nt
Filed under: Triticum aestivum (bread wheat)
Lineage: Eukaryota; Viridiplantae; Streptophyta; Magnoliopsida; Poales; Poaceae
Description: partial small subunit ribosomal RNA
Source: RNAcentral